UGAACGCUGGCGGCGUGCUUAACACAUGCAAGUCGAACGCUGAAGCUCCCAGCUUGCUGGGGGUGGAUGAGUGGCGAACGGGUGAGGUAUCACGUGAGUAACCUGCCCUUGACUCUGGGAUAAGCCCGGGAAACUGGGUCUAAUACUGGAUAGGACUGGCCAUCGCAUGGUGGUUGGUUGAAAGCUUUUUGCGGUUUUGGAUGGACUCGCGGCCUAUCAGCUUGUUGGUGGGGUAAUGGCCUACCAAGGCUUUGACGGGUAGCCGGCCUGAGAGGGUGACCGGCCACACUGGGACUGAGACACGGCCCAGACUCCUACGGGAGGCAGCAGUGGGGGAUAUUGCACAAUGGGCGCAAGCCUGAAUGCAGCGACGCCGCGUGAGGGAUGACGGCCUUCGGGUUGUAAACCUCUUUCAGUUGGGAAGAAGCCUUUCGGGGUGACGGUACCUUCAGAAGAAGCACCGGCUAACUACGUGCCAGCAGCCGC
RNAcentral lists this ribosomal RNA (486 nucleotides) under uncultured bacterium. Its description in RNAcentral is "bacterial SSU rRNA". It matches the Rfam family "Bacterial small subunit ribosomal RNA", at positions 30 to 518 of the family's 1533-position model. The record is from RNAcentral.